UUCAGUAGGUGCAGAAAAAAUAAAAAAAGGGAAAGCAAAGGUGGAGAGGCUUGGAUGGAGUUUCUAUUGAUCCAGUCAAUCAACAGCAUGAUGACACAUCUUCUAUAACCCAAGGGGAAGCUGAUCAUACCACAGUAAAUCUGAUUUUCAUUAGUUUUAUUAGCUUACCAAGCUUCAGAAUGCAACUCCCUGUUGCUGUUACAUUACUACUUUAUCAAUCUAGGUGUUUGUUUCUCAACUUUCUUAGGAGUUCUCUUACUUACAUUUUUAAUUUGCUG
This 278-nucleotide unclassified non-coding RNA is filed under the name Hevea brasiliensis (rubber tree). Lineage: Eukaryota; Viridiplantae; Streptophyta; Magnoliopsida; Malpighiales; Euphorbiaceae. The record is from RNAcentral.